GAUGAACGCUGGCGGCGUGCCUAAUACAUGCAAGUCGAGCGAACAGACGAGGAGCUUGCUCCUCUGACGUUAGCGGCGGACGGGUGAGUAACACGUGGAUAACCUACCUAUAAGACUGGGAUAACUUCGGGAAACCGGAGCUAAUACCGGAUAAUAUAUUGAACCGCAUGGUUCAAUAGUGAAAGACGGUUUUGCUGUCACUUAUAGAUGGAUCCGCGCCGCAUUAGCUAGUUGGUAAGGUAACGGCUUACCAAGGCAACGAUGCGUAGCCGACCUGAGAGGGUGAUCGGCCCCACUGGAACUGAGACGCGGUCCAGACUCCUACGGGAGGCAGCAGUAGGGAAUCUUCCGCAAUGGGCGAAAGCCUGACGGAGCAACGCCGCGUGAGUGAUGAAGGUCUUCGGAUCGUAAAACUCUGUUAUUAGGGAAGAACAAAUGUGUAAGUAACUAUGCACGUCUUGACGGUACCUAAUCAGAAAGCCACGGCUAACUACGUG
This 497-nucleotide ribosomal RNA is filed under the name uncultured bacterium. RNAcentral describes it as "partial 16S ribosomal RNA". It matches the Rfam family "Bacterial small subunit ribosomal RNA", at positions 28 to 507 of the family's 1533-position model. The record is from RNAcentral.